RNAcentral lists this unclassified non-coding RNA (250 nucleotides) under plant metagenome. Its description in RNAcentral is "partial contains small subunit ribosomal RNA, internal transcribed spacer 1, and 5.8S ribosomal RNA". The record is from RNAcentral.
UCUCCGUUGGUGAACCAGCGGAGGGAUCAUUACAGAGUUGCAAAACUCCCAAACCAUCGUGAACGUUACCUAUCCCGUUGCUUCGGCGGGCGGCCCGGGCCCCGCGCCCGGCGCCCCCCGGCCCCCCGUGGGCGCCCGCCGGAGGUAAACCUAACCCUUGAAUUGCAUGGCCUCUCUGAGUCUUCUGUACUGAAUAAGUCAAAACUUUCAACAACGGAUCUCUUGGUUCUGGCAUCGAUGAAAACGCAGC